This is a small nuclear RNA of Monodelphis domestica (gray short-tailed opossum), 104 nucleotides long. The record is from Ensembl. NCBI's taxonomy places the organism in Eukaryota, Metazoa, Chordata, Mammalia, Didelphimorphia, Didelphidae.
GUGAUCGCAGCAGCAUAUAUACUAAAAUUGGAAUGAUAGAGAGAAGAUUAGCAUGGCCCCUGCACAAAGAUGACAUGCAAAUUCGUGAAGGGUUCCAUAUUUUU